UUUAUCACGAUAAAUAAAUUGUAUAAUCUGGAUACAAUAUUUUCAUAUUAGUUACAUCUACUUUAGGUAAUAAAAAGAGAGAGAGAGAGAACGUUUUUCUCUCUGGUGUCUCUCCCCACUCUGCCGUCAAACCCUAGUUCCUCUAUCUCUGCCGUUCGUUUGCAAGGAGGCCGACGACACAGUUUUCACCGUUGGUCUCCUGCCCCACCGGUUUCUUCUUGUUCUAGCCACACCCACCGAUCCUAUCUUACGGCGUCGCUUCCUUCUUGUUCCUGUGUCUCUAGAUCUCUGUUUUUUCAGACUUAAACGAAAGUAGAAGUGUGUGCUUCUCUUUCCUGGAGCGCGGCGAGGUCGCGAGCGUUUGAAACCACCGGUGGCCUUGAUCUUCUGACUCUUUAGUGCGUAGGCGUUGGAUCUGGGUCAGAUCUGAAUCGCUAGUCAUCGAGUUUUAGGUUGAGAAAGUAGCUACCUCUCCUCCUUUCUCCGACCAGCCUCCCGACGAGUUCUAGGGCUAUGAAGCUUCAAAAGGUGUAGAGCCUCUCCUCAGGGGAUUCGUCCUCAGAGAGCGGCGGAGUUGUGGUCUCCGUUGAGGGUCUCUGAAUCUAGUUUCAGGUAUCAUUACCAUGGCUCUCUCCUGUCAACUUGGUUCAGGUCUCUCUCUGUUGAGUUUAGGGUGGUUGGAUGUUUAGGGUUCUCUGAGGACAGUCCCGAUGCCUCUACCUCUUGAUAUCCCACGACUGAGACUUGCCAUUGGUGGGACUAGCCUGUUUUGAGGGUCUUCGGACUUCUCCUGUUCUUCAUCUCCUUUUUCAAGCUCCGGUUUGUCUUUCCGAUAGCUGUGAUGUGUUAGUUUAUUCUCCUGGGUCGCGUAGUCGGAUUGGGGUGCAUUAUACCGAUUACGCUUGACCAUCAUUUCAUGUGCUCUAUUUCAAGUGAAGACAUCUUGGCAAGUUAGACAGCUACUUUCCGAGUGGCAUUAGGUUUGGUUUCAACGAAGUCUCUCCUCAGCUAGCACCGGAGUGUAAGCCAGGAUCUCCGUCGUCGCAACUUGAGAGAUCUUCGGGUUAGUCUUCGGCAAACCGUCCCCGUUUAGCCAAACUCCUCUCUCUGCAGGUUUCGAUCAGCAAAGAGUUUAGGAAGCACUUGAGUUAGGAAAUUAGUUGAUAUUUGUUGUUAAACUUUAAUUCUAAGUGUAUUGUUGCAAUAUCUUUAGAUUUUUAUGGAUGCUAUAGGUUUUUUUUUUUUUUUGCGGUCUCUAGGAUCAAAUCAGCUCUUUGAGCAAUCUUAGAUUUUAAUUUCUAUUGUAAUCAAACUUUCAU
This 1319-nucleotide long non-coding RNA is filed under the name Brassica napus (rape). RNAcentral describes it as "long non-coding RNA (BNAP_LNC008125)". Lineage: Eukaryota; Viridiplantae; Streptophyta; Magnoliopsida; Brassicales; Brassicaceae. The record is from RNAcentral.